CAUUAUGUCUUCAUAGAGCGCAUGUAUUUUUGAUAAAUUUGAAAUAUGAUAUAGGAAGGAACUAUUAUUAUAUACGUAUACGGGGUCAGUUUCUACGGGAACAUAUUUUUUGUUACUUAAAUGUAUUAUAUUGUCGCAUAAUGCGAAAGGGGAAAUUGAAAAGAAAAUUAUUCCGUACACGCCUUUACUCUUAUGUUAUCCUUAUGUAUAAUCCGUCCUUUAUUAGUCGUUACAGUCUUUUCGUUAUCUUGUUUUACAACUUGCUUCGCGUAUUCUCUUACGUUCUUAUUUCGCCUGUGCGUCUUGGAAAAUAUUACGUCACCUGGAUUAUAGUUCAGCUGCUUUCGAUUGCGAUUAUAAUGACGCAAGACUCUUUCCUGGUUUUGUUGUAUUCGUUCUUGGAUGUCGGGAUAUCUCCUUUGAUUAUAAAACACGUCCUCGGGUGUCUUGUUGAUAACGGAAUGUAUGGUUUUGUUGUACUGCCGAACAGCUUCAAAAAUUUGGUCUUCCGGUGCUGAAUUAUUCUGGUCAGCUAAAACUUUCGCGAUUUCAAUAAUUGUACUGUGCGUACGCUCAACUUGUCCGUUUGUAGUAGAAUGGAACGCUGGCGUUUUUGUGUGCGUUAUUUUUAAUCGUUUGUAAAUUUGUUGUGCACAUAUGCUUGUAAACGAUAGAUCGUUAUCAGUCAUUAAAAAUUUUGCGUUUUUGGGUAUAUUUGUGAAAGAAUCUCGUCAACGUAUUUGUAUGUAUCUUUCCUUGAAGGUAUUUGUCUAAAGUAGCAAAAUUUUGAGUAUUUGUCCGUUGAGCUAAUGUAUAUGUUAUCGCUCAUGUAGAAUAACAGCUCUAUUCUGAAAAAAAACUCUCAACUGAGUUGAGAGGAAAAAUUUGAGAGAUUUCUUGUGAGGCAUAUUUUGUGAGGCUAUUCUUGCUCAAACCUCAUAAGAAAAAAGCUUAAAAAAGUCACCACCUGAGGUAAAAAGCUUUUAGCUGUCAAACAGCUGUUUUAUUCCUAGGCGUACAAAACGGAGAGGAUAACUCAGGAGCAGCUGCAACAUUACAUAAUGUUUUGCAAGCAGCAUCCUGAGUUACAACGGGGGAAGCUAACUCCGACCAACCCUCAAGGGCUGCAAAUACUUUGGUCGGAGCUAGCAGAUAAUUUAAAUGCCUUAAGAGGUCCAACUCGGUCGGCAGCCAAGUGGAGGGAGUCAUUGAUGCAUUGGAAACAUCAGUUGCGAUCGCGAGCGCGCCAGCUGAAGGCACAUGCGCAAGCGACUGGUGGAGGCCCUCCGAUAAAUGGAAUGAGCGAAUUCGAUGAGCAAGCAAUUUGAACUUUUGGAGCAGCAGCGGUGGAUGGAUUGCCGGGUGUUGCGACUUUGGGUCACCAGGUUUUGCCGUUGUAUUUAAAUACAGUCACAUCGCCUGCUCCAGCGCCAACACCAACAUUCACAUCGCCUGCUCCAGCACCCUCCCCAGCAGUCACAUCGUCGCAUCGCCUGCUCCAGCAUCCUCGUCAGCAGUCACAUCUCCUGAUCCAGCUUUUCCUGCUCUGACUUUAAAUUUUUCUUCCUCGCCAUCACCUCAUUUUUCUUCCUCACCAUCACCUCCAUCUUCUUCCUUAUCUCCUCCCAUCUUAUCUGCUCAUAUGCCAACUCCUUCUUACAUCCCUCCUGAAAAAUUGACUGCAGCGAAGAUGCUUGGGACAGUGCUAAAGAAAAUGGAGGAUCGGGAAAAGCGUGAGGAGGAGGCCAUUGCUCUACAAAGGAAAAUUGUUGAGCAAAAUGUGCAGAUGACAGGGGUGCUGACCCAGAUGACAAAAGCACUAACCUCGCUGUCAGAGGUUAUGGCAAAAUUGUCUGAAAAAUUAG
Bactrocera neohumeralis is the source of this 1865-nucleotide long non-coding RNA. RefSeq lists it as uncharacterized. The transcript is spliced from 3 exons. The record is from RefSeq and is a predicted model, not a curated record. Lineage: Eukaryota; Metazoa; Arthropoda; Insecta; Diptera; Tephritidae.